GACGAACGCUGGCGGCGUGCUUAACACAUGCAAGUCGAACGGUGAAGCGCCUUCCUUUUUGGUGGGUGUGGAUGAGUGGCGAACGGGUGAGUAACACGUGAGUAACCUGCCCCCUGCUUCUGGAUAACCGCAUGAAAGUGUGGCUAAUACGGGAUAUUCUGGGUCUGUCGCAUGAUGGGUCUGGGAAAGAUAUUGUUUCGGUGGGGGAUGGGCUCGCGGCCUAUCAGCUUGUUGGUGGGGUGAUGGCCUACCAAGGCGGUGACGGGUAGCCGGCCUGAGAGGGUGGACGGUCACACUGGGACUGAGACACGGCCCAGACUCCUACGGGAGGCAGCAGUGGGGAAUAUUGCACAAUGGGCGCAAGCCUGAUGCAGCGACGCCGCGUGAGGGAUGGAGGCCUUCGGGUUGUGAACCUCUUUCGCCAGUGAAGCAGGCCUGCCUCGUUUGUGGGUGGGUUGACGGUAGCUGGAUAAGAAGCGCCGGCUAACUACGUG
RNAcentral lists this ribosomal RNA (494 nucleotides) under uncultured bacterium. Its description in RNAcentral is "partial 16S ribosomal RNA". It matches the Rfam family "Bacterial small subunit ribosomal RNA", at positions 28 to 507 of the family's 1533-position model. The record is from RNAcentral.